This 253-nucleotide ribosomal RNA is filed under the name uncultured bacterium. Its description in RNAcentral is "partial 16S ribosomal RNA". It matches the Rfam family "Bacterial small subunit ribosomal RNA", at positions 524 to 776 of the family's 1533-position model. The record is from RNAcentral.
UACGUAGGGCGCAAGCGUUGUCCGGAAUUAUUGGGCGUAAAGAGCUCGUAGGCGGCUUGUCACGUCGGAUGUGAAAGCCCGGGGCUUAACCCCGGGAGGCGGGCGGAUACUGUCGGGCUAGAGUCCGGAAGAGGCGAGUGGAAUUCCUGGUGUAGCGGUGAAAUGCGCAGAUAUCAGGAGGAACACCAAUGGCGAAGGCAGCUCGCUGGGACGGUACUGACGCUGAGACGCGAAAGCGUGGGGAGCAAACAGG